UACGUAGGGUGCAAGCGUUAAUCGGAAUUACUGGGCGUAAAGCGCGUGUAGGCGGCAGCGUGUGUCGGGCGUGAAAUCCCACGGCUCAACCGUGGAAGUGCACUCGAAACUGCGCAGCUAGAGUCCUGGAGAGGAAGGUGGAAUGCUUGGUGUAGAGGUGAAAUUCGUAGAUAUCAAGCGGAACACCGGUGGCGAAGGCGGCCUUCUGGACAGUGACUGACGCUGAGACGCGAAAGCGUGGGGAGCAAACAGG
Molecule: ribosomal RNA, 253 nt
Filed under: uncultured bacterium
Lineage: Bacteria
Also listed under: 1 other name
Description: partial 16S ribosomal RNA
Rfam family: Bacterial small subunit ribosomal RNA
Source: RNAcentral